Molecule: ribosomal RNA, 939 nt
Filed under: Triticum aestivum (bread wheat)
Lineage: Eukaryota; Viridiplantae; Streptophyta; Magnoliopsida; Poales; Poaceae
Description: partial small subunit ribosomal RNA
Source: RNAcentral
AUGGAAGGAAGCAUCAGCGGUCCGUCAGAGAAAAGGGUUGCCGUGGUGACCGGAGGGAACCGGGGGAUGGGGCUGGAGAUAUGCCGGCAGCUUGCGGGGCACGGGCUCGCCGUCGUCUUGACGGCGAGGGACGACAAGAGGGGCGCUGAGGCAGCCGAAACGCUCCGGGAGGAGGGGCUAUCGGACGUCGCGUUUCAUCAGCUGGAGAUCAGCGAGCCCGCCAGUGCCGCUCGUCUGGCUGCUUUCGUAAAGAAGAAGUUCGGCAAGCUUGACAUACUGGUCAACAAUGCCGGAGUGCUCGGGGUGACCACGGACGUCGGCGACCCGGCGACCCUUCAGGAAACGCUUGCAGGCAAGGAUGGGAUGGAGAGAGCCGAAUGGCUGAGGCAACGGACCACACAGACCACCCAGGAUGCAGAGGACUGCCUGAGGAUCAACUACCACGGCAACAAGACCGUCACGGAAGCCCUCCUCCCGCUCCUCCGAUCAUCCUCCGACGGCAGAAUCGUCAACGUAACCUCAGCCUGGGGGCUGCUCAGGUAUUUCAGCGGCGACGAGCUCCGGCGGGAGCUGGACGACGUCGCAAACCUCACGACGCAGCGGCUCGACGAGAUGUCAGACCUGUUCCUCGAGGACCUGGGCAAGGGCAAUGGCGCGCUGGAGCGCCGCGGGUGGCCGGCCGACCCGGUCUACGCGGCCUACAUGGCCUCCAAGGCGCUGGUGUGCGCCUACACCAGGGUGAUCGCCAGGGAGGAGGGCGCCGCGCUGCGGGUCAACUGCGUGCACCCCGGCUACGUCCUCACCGGGAUGAACGACUACACCGGCGUCCUCACGGCCGCGGAGGGCGCCGCCGCCGCGGUUGCAGUUGCACUGGCGGAGAAGGGGGGCGUCACCGGCGCCUACUUCGACCGCACUGAACUCGGAGCGUCCUUUGUGUGA